Molecule: ribosomal RNA, 253 nt
Filed under: uncultured bacterium
Lineage: Bacteria
Description: partial 16S ribosomal RNA
Rfam family: Bacterial small subunit ribosomal RNA
Source: RNAcentral
UACGAAGGGGGCUAGCGUUGUUCGGAAUCACUGGGCGUAAAGCGCACGUAGGCGGAUCUUUAAGUCAGGGGUGAAAUCCCGAGGCUCAACCUCGGAACUGCCUUUGAUACUGGGGAUCUCGAGUCCGGGAGAGGUGAGUGGAACUGCGAGUGUAGAGGUGAAAUUCGUAGGUAUUCGGAAGAACACCAGUGGCGAAGGCGACUCAUUGGACAUGUAUUGACGCUGAGGUGCGAAAGCGUGGGGAGCAAACAGG